Molecule: transfer RNA, 92 nt
Filed under: Leucosporidium creatinivorum
Lineage: Eukaryota; Fungi; Basidiomycota; Microbotryomycetes; Leucosporidiales; Leucosporidiaceae
Description: Leucosporidiella creatinivora tRNA
Rfam family: tRNA
About the family: Transfer RNA (tRNA) molecules are approximately 80 nucleotides in length. Their secondary structure includes four short double-helical elements and three loops (D, anti-codon, and T loops).
Source: Rfam by way of RNAcentral
ACCCGGCUAGCUCAAUCGGCUUAGAGCAUUCGACUUUUAAAUCACUUGGUUUGGGCAUCGAAAGGUUGCGGGUUCGAGUCCCGCGCUGGGUG